UACGGGGGGAGCAAGCGUUGUUCGGAUUUACUGGGCGUAAAGGGCGCGUAGGCGGCCUGUGCAAGUCAGUUGUGAAAUCUCCGGGCUUAACUCGGAACGGUCAACUGAUACUGCUCGGCUAGAGUGCGGAAGGGGCAACUGGAAUUCUUGGUGUAGCGGUGAAAUGCGUAGAUAUCAGGAGGAACACCUGUGGUGUAGACAGCUUACUGGACCACUUCUGACGCUGAGACACGAAAGCGUGGGUAGCAAACAGG
This 254-nucleotide ribosomal RNA is filed under the name uncultured prokaryote. Its description in RNAcentral is "partial 16S ribosomal RNA". It matches the Rfam family "Bacterial small subunit ribosomal RNA", at positions 524 to 776 of the family's 1533-position model. The record is from RNAcentral.